Molecule: non-coding RNA, 474 nt
Organism: Onychomys torridus (southern grasshopper mouse)
Lineage: Eukaryota; Metazoa; Chordata; Mammalia; Rodentia; Cricetidae
Source: the annotation of a RefSeq genome assembly
AUGCAUCAAACAGUGAAGGGCAUCAAGAUGGUGUUACAGACCCAUGUCUUCAUAUUUCUGCUCUUCUGGGUAUCUGGUGCCUAUGGGAACAUUGUAAUGACCCAGUCUCCCAAUUCAUUAUCUGUGUCAGUAGGAGACAAAGCCACCAUGAGUUGUAAGUCCAGUCAGAAUGUAGGUACCAAUAUAGCAUGGUACCAGCAGAAACCAGGGCAGUCUCCUAAACUGCUGAUCUACUAUGCAUCCACUCGGAACACUGGGGUCCCUGAUCACUUCACAGGCAGUGGGUCUGGGACAGAUUUCACUCUCACCAUCAGCAGUGUCCAGGCUGAAGACCUGGCAGAUUACUACUGUCAGCAGCAUUAUAGUACUCCUCCCACAGUGCUUCAGCCUCCAACAAAAACCUCCUCUGAGAGUCUCACCAGCUGCCUGCACCACACACAGCGCUGGAUCUGCAUACUUCCCCCUUCUUCCUGA